Non-coding RNA from Paramuricea clavata, 569 nucleotides. The record is from the annotation of a GenBank genome assembly. Lineage: Eukaryota; Metazoa; Cnidaria; Anthozoa; Malacalcyonacea; Plexauridae.
AAAAUGUAACUGUUUGGCAAUUAUAUAUCAUGCUUCUUCGUCUAAUUGACCCUACGUCGUCUUCGAGAAAUCUUCCAGUGCAAAAAUAUAUUUUGUUUUCGCCAAAAAACAAAUGCGAUAGCGUUUGAAGAGUUUAUAUUGUCAGGAAACAUUCACAGGGAAGAUAGCGAUUGAAAAUCCCAGGUAAGCAUUCAUUGCCUUUUAUUCAUUGUUUUCUGAAAAAUGUUGUUCUCUCCUAUACAAGCGCCAUUAAGCAUCGUUAAGGGGGAGCAUCCAUACUCAACUUGCCACGCAGUGUGACCAGGUUUUUUCAGGGCAAAUUACCACAUCCGGUUUCAAAAAUUACUAUUUUCGGUCUGAAAUUACCACGGUGCUAUAUUUUCCCAAUUUUAGCGUAUUUUUCCCAAAAAUGUUGGCGAGCGGGGAGGGGGGGGGAGCAAAAAAUUUUUUUUCAAAUUAUUAUGAUUUUUUUUAGUGAUACGCAUAUACACACCAAACCGUAGACAAGACAAUCAUCAAACGAAAAUAUUUUCCUAACGGCGUUGGAACUAACGACUUCACUACACGGC